RNAcentral lists this ribosomal RNA (250 nucleotides) under uncultured bacterium. Its description in RNAcentral is "partial 16S ribosomal RNA". It matches the Rfam family "Bacterial small subunit ribosomal RNA", at positions 107 to 353 of the family's 1533-position model. The record is from RNAcentral.
UGAGUAACGCGUGAGGAACCUGCCUCAAAGAGGGGGACAACAGUUGGAAACGACUGCUAAUACUGCAUAAGCCCACGGCUCGGCAUCGAGCAGAGAGAAAAGGAGCAAUCCGCUUUGAGAUGGCCUCGCGUCCGAUUAGCUAAUUGGUGAGGUAACGGCCCACCAAGGCGACGAUCGGUAGCCGGACUGAGAGGUUGAACGGCCACAUUGGGACUGAGACACGGCCCAGACUCCUACGGGAGGCAGCAUG